GUGACGGAAGCCGCGGUAAUACAGAGGUCUCAAGCGUUGUUCGGAUUCAUUGGGCGUAAAGGGUGCGUAGGCGGCGCGGUAAGUCGGGUGUGAAAUUUCGGAGCUUAACUCCGANACUGCAUUCGAUACUGCCGUGCUUGAGGACUGGAGAGGAGACUGGAAUUUACGGUGUAGCAGUGAAAAUGCGUAGAGAUCGNAAGGAAGACCAGNNGCGAAGGNGGNUCUCUGGACAGNCCUGACGCUGAGGCACGAAGGCCAGGGGAGCAAACG
RNAcentral lists this ribosomal RNA (270 nucleotides) under unidentified soil organism R6-139. Its description in RNAcentral is "partial 16S ribosomal RNA". It matches the Rfam family "Bacterial small subunit ribosomal RNA", at positions 505 to 774 of the family's 1533-position model. The record is from RNAcentral.